RNAcentral lists this small nucleolar RNA (59 nucleotides) under Ictidomys tridecemlineatus (thirteen-lined ground squirrel). Its description in RNAcentral is "Small nucleolar RNA SNORD63 (ENSSTOG00000018638.1)". Lineage: Eukaryota; Metazoa; Chordata; Mammalia; Rodentia; Sciuridae. The record is from RNAcentral.
CAGUUUAUUCAUCAACAUCAAUCUGAAAAAGCAUAGAUGUAUGGAGAAAUAAUGACUUA